RNAcentral lists this long non-coding RNA (924 nucleotides) under Homo sapiens (human). RNAcentral describes it as "HSALNT0023382". The record is from RNAcentral. Lineage: Eukaryota; Metazoa; Chordata; Mammalia; Primates; Hominidae.
CAUAAGAUGUGGGCUAGCCAGGUGCGGUGGCUCACGCCUGUAAUCCCAGCACUUUGGGAGGCCGAGGCAGGCAGAUCACCUGAAGUCGGGAGUUUGAGACAAGCCUGACCAACAUGGAGAAACCCCAUCUCUACUAAAAAUACAAAAUUAGCCAGGUGUGGUGGCACACGCCUGUAAUCCCAGCUACUCGGGAGGCUGAGGCAGGAGAACCUGGGAGGCAGAGGUUGCGGUGAGCCGAGAUCGCGCCAUUGCUCUCCAGCCUGGGCAACAAGAGCUAAACUCCGUCUAAAAAAAAAAAAAGAGAGAGAAAGAAAAAAAAGAUGUGGGCUAACUGCACAGACCUAGAAAGUUGCGGGGCAGGAGCAUCAAGGAUCAGGACAUUACUGGUGUGUUAUCAGCAUUGCCCUGCUUCUGAUCAACAGGGUGGACAGCUUAGGAGCCAAGGGAAAACUUCCCCUUUAUCUUCUGAAGUUUUGUUAUAAAAUCAGCUGACAGAAGGCAGAUUGCUAGGAGGAAAGGCUUACACAUCUAUUAACAUGCAUGGGGAGAAUCACAGGGUGGUUACCCCACCAUGCAAUGGGGUGCAGAGGCCUUUAUUCUCCUCUUAGGGGAAAGGGAGAUAAGGAAGUGUGCAUUAUUUUAGGGGGAUAGUAAAUAUUUUUUAGGGAAAUUCAACGGGCUUGAAGAACAUACAAUGGUCUGGGACAGUCUGUUGGUUUGUGACAAAGACAGCUUCUACCAGGGCCAAUUUUAUAGCUAAAAAAUAUAUUUACAGCUAGAAAAAAAAGGUCUGUCCAGGCAUGUUGACCGACUUCAGUCCUCAUUCCUGUGAUGAGAGUUCAGCCGUUUGAAACUCAGGGAAGGGAUCGGAGACAGAAGAUUGGGAGACAGGAAGGAGGGGAAGGUCAGAGAGACCUGGAGGCU